UGCCAGCCGCCGCGGUAAUACAGAGGGUGCAAGCGUUAAUCGGAAUCACUGGGCGUAAAGCGCACGUAGGCGGAUAGAUAUGUUGGCUGUGAAAGACCCGGGCUCAACCUGGGAAGGCCAGCCAAAACUGUUUGUCUAGAGUACAGUAGAGGAGAGCGGAAUUUCCGGUGUAGCGGUGAAAUGCGUAGAUAUCGGAAGGAACACCAGUGGCGAAGGCGGCUCUCUGGCCUGAUACUGACGCUGAGGUGCGAAAGCGUGGGGAGCGAACAGGAUUAGAUA
RNAcentral lists this ribosomal RNA (279 nucleotides) under uncultured bacterium. RNAcentral describes it as "partial 16S ribosomal RNA". It matches the Rfam family "Bacterial small subunit ribosomal RNA", at positions 506 to 784 of the family's 1533-position model. The record is from RNAcentral.